UAAGACGUAGGAUGCAAGCGUUGUCCGGAUUUAUUGGGCGUAAAGAGUUCGUAGGCGGUUUGUUAAGUCUGAUGUAAAAGACUGGGGCUCAACCUCGGGACUGCAUUGGAUACUGGCAGACUGGAGUACGGUAGAGGCAAGUGGAAUUCCCAGUGUAGCGGUGAAAUGCGUAGAUAUUGGGAAGAACACCGGUGGCGCAAGCGACUUGCUGGGCCGUAACUGACGCUGAGGAACGAAAGCUAGGGUAGCGAAUGGGAUUAGAUACCCCAGUAGUCCUAGCCGUAAACGAUGGAUACUAGGCGUAGUGGGUAUCGACCCCCGCUGUGCCGCAGCUAACGCGAUAAGUAUCCCGCCUGAGUAGUACGGCCGCAAGGUUG
Molecule: ribosomal RNA, 377 nt
Filed under: uncultured bacterium
Lineage: Bacteria
Description: bacterial SSU rRNA
Rfam family: Bacterial small subunit ribosomal RNA
Source: RNAcentral